GCUGCAAACCGUUCUGUCGCUGCCGUUCAUCCGGCAGAGGAAAGUCCGGGCAACACAGGGCAUCCUGCUUCCUAACGGGAAGGGGUCGUACCAGCCGGCUACAGCAAGUGCCACAGAAAAUAAACCGCCCGUUUCAGGAUGGGUAAGGGUGAAAACGUGAGGUAAGAGCUCACGGCUUUUACGGGCGACCGUAAUUGCGGUAAACCUCAGGAGUUGAAAAACCAAAUAGGUCUCAAUUGAAAAGCGGCCCGCUUUAUGUGUUUCGGCACGGUUGAGAUGGGUAGGUUGAUAGAGCCGUGCAGCAAUGUACGGACCAGAUCAAUGACAGAAUAUCCGCAAGGAUACACAGAACCCGGCUUACAGGUUUGCUGCUGGU
Molecule: RNase P RNA, 376 nt
Filed under: Mucilaginibacter ginkgonis
Lineage: Bacteria; Pseudomonadati; Bacteroidota; Sphingobacteriia; Sphingobacteriales; Sphingobacteriaceae
Description: Bacterial RNase P class A
Rfam family: Bacterial RNase P class A
About the family: Ribonuclease P (RNase P) is a ubiquitous endoribonuclease, found in archaea, bacteria and eukarya as well as chloroplasts and mitochondria. Its best characterised activity is the generation of mature 5'-ends of tRNAs by cleaving the 5'-leader elements of precursor-tRNAs.
Source: Rfam by way of RNAcentral